GACGAACGCUGGCGGCGUGCCUAAUACAUGCAAGUUGAGCGCUGAAGGUUGGUACUUGUACCCACUGGAUGAGCAGCGAACGGGUGAGUAACGCGUGGGGAAUCUGCCUUUGAGCGGGGGACAACAUUUGGAAACGAAUGCUAAUACCGCAUAAAAACUUUAAACACAAGUUUUAAGUUUGAAAGAUGCAAUUGCAUCACUCAAAGAUGAUCCCGCGUUGUAUUAGCUAGUUGGUGAGGUAAAGGCUCACCAAGGCGAUGAUACAUAGCCGACCUGAGAGGGUGAUCGGCCACAUUGGGACUGAGACACGGCCCAAACUCCUACGGGAGGCAGCAGUAGGGAAUCUUCGGCAAUGGACGAAAGUCUGACCGAGCAACGCCGCGUGAGUGAAGAAGGUUUUCGGAUCGUAAAACUCUGUUGGUAGAGAAGAACGUUGGUGAGAGUGGAAAGCUCAUCAAGGGACGGUAACUACCCAGAAAGGGACGGCUAACUACGU
Molecule: ribosomal RNA, 496 nt
Filed under: uncultured bacterium
Lineage: Bacteria
Description: partial 16S ribosomal RNA
Rfam family: Bacterial small subunit ribosomal RNA
Source: RNAcentral